GCCGGUGUGGCGGAAUUGGCAGACGCGCGGGACUCAAAAUCCCGUUCCACUUAUGGAGUGUCGGUUCGACCCCGACCACCGGUA
Molecule: transfer RNA, 84 nt
Filed under: Staphylococcus aureus
Lineage: Bacteria; Bacillati; Bacillota; Bacilli; Caryophanales; Staphylococcaceae
Description: tRNA-Leu
Rfam family: tRNA
About the family: Transfer RNA (tRNA) molecules are approximately 80 nucleotides in length. Their secondary structure includes four short double-helical elements and three loops (D, anti-codon, and T loops).
Source: RNAcentral